GACGAACCAUGCGAACGCUGUUAGGAUUCACUGGGCUUAAAGGGCGCGUAGGCGGGUUCUCAAGUCGGGGGUGAAAUCCCACAGCCCAAAUGUGGAAGUGCCCCCGAUACUGGGAGCCUGGAGGGAGGUAGGGGUGUGUGGAACUUCCGGUGGAGCGGUGAAAUGCGUAGAUAUCGGAAGGAACGCCGGUGGCGAAAGCGACGCACUGGACCUCUUCUGACGCUGAGGCGAGAAAGCCAGGGGAGCAAACGGG
RNAcentral lists this ribosomal RNA (253 nucleotides) under uncultured bacterium. Its description in RNAcentral is "partial 16S ribosomal RNA". It matches the Rfam family "Bacterial small subunit ribosomal RNA", at positions 524 to 776 of the family's 1533-position model. The record is from RNAcentral.